CCCAAGGCCGAACUUUAAAGACUCGUUAGGAAGAAAUGUAAAUGAACAGAGUUUUGAAAUGCAAGCCUGCAUUGUUAGAGAUAGAAGAGGGUCUUGUGAUGUAA
This is a long non-coding RNA of Gopherus evgoodei (Goodes thornscrub tortoise), 104 nucleotides long. RefSeq lists it as uncharacterized. NCBI's taxonomy places the organism in Eukaryota, Metazoa, Chordata, Testudines, Testudinidae. The record is from RefSeq and is a predicted model, not a curated record. The transcript has 3 exons.